RNAcentral lists this long non-coding RNA (1227 nucleotides) under Macaca fascicularis (crab-eating macaque). RNAcentral's name for it is "lncRNA (ENSMFAG00000049569.1)". Lineage: Eukaryota; Metazoa; Chordata; Mammalia; Primates; Cercopithecidae. The record is from RNAcentral.
UGUCCAUUUCACAUUCGUUAGAUCCAUUUGCCUCUAGUUAGGGAGACACAUCCUUAAAAUGGUGGCUUUAGGAAGCUUCCCGCAGAGUUUCUUUCGUGUGGCAAUGUGUGUAGCAGGUAUACUGAGCUUCUGUUUCCUUCCAGGAGAAGGAGAAGGGGCACUUACCCAGGAGUACCGAACACUCUCAGCCUGCUCUCUUGGUCUCCUUCAUGUCUGUUUCUGCCCUGCUGAUUUUCUGCCUUCAGAAACAAAGAAGAAUCCAGCUUUUCUUCAUGAUGCAGGAUGUUGUAUAUACUUGGAGCCAUCCUCAGUCACAGCUGCCCCUUCAUGAUUCCAAGCUUUCCAAUCGCCUUCAUAGUCAAUGGUCCAAAAUCAUCAAGAGCAUACCGCACGAUGUCAUGGGCAGGGCACGGAGUGUGCAAGGAGACAGAACUCUUCCUGUGGAAACCAGCAUCUCAGGCAUGUCAGGGAGCCACCCUGAACCUUCACCUUCCCAGUCUGUAAAGUAGGAUGAAUCAUCAUUUCUGCCUUGACUCAUUGCUGUGGGAGGUGUGAGUACCGCACAUGUGAGGUGUCCUGAGAUACGCCUGACACGUGGUGGGCACUCAACAAAGACUAGCCGGUACCAAGGUGACUUCCGUAUUAGCUGGAGAAAAUGCACGUUCUUUUUUGACACUCCUCCAGCAUUCACCAUGUGCCAGGCACUGUUCUCAUUCCUUCACGUAGAUUAAUUCAUGUACAUACUCACGGCAACCCUUUGAUAUGGGCAUAGUAUUAUCUUCAUUUUACAAAUGAGGAAACUGAGGCUCAGAGAAGUUGUCCAAGGUCACAGAGCUAGCAGUUGUAGAACGAUGGUAGAUGGGACCCAGACAAUCAGGCCCCAGGGCAUACACUCUUCAAUACAACACCAUACUGACUCUCCUACUUAAAAUCAUAGGUUCUCUAAGAAUAGAAAAGUAGUAAGAAGGCUGAAUAUUCUCUUGCUGCUUAAGUUCAGCCAAAUGCCUUACAUGUUCUACCUCAUCAGUCCUUAUUAUAACCCAAUAAGCUACACCCUAUCAUUAUCACCAUUUACAGAUGAGAAAACAGAGGCAUACAGAGGAUAAAUAGCCUGACCCAGGUUUACAGCUAGUAAGUGGAUUCAGAUCCAUGCCUGUCUGAGUUCAGAGCUCAUGCUAGCAACCAUGCUGCUAUUUUGAAUCCUAGAAAGGCUCUCCUCCGUUGGUG